RNAcentral lists this non-coding RNA (100 nucleotides) under unclassified sequences. Its description in RNAcentral is "L4-Archaeoglobi ribosomal protein leader". It matches the Rfam family "L4-Archaeoglobi ribosomal protein leades". The record is from RNAcentral.
CUGAUGGGCGCGUCCGGGUCAAUUGCGGUAUGCAACACCCGAUCUCUCUCCACGUUCCAGACAGUCUGGACGUGGCUCAGGGAGAGCGCGUGACCGUCAG